RNA transcript from Wasmannia auropunctata (little fire ant), 863 nucleotides. RefSeq lists it as uncharacterized. The transcript has 4 exons. The record is from RefSeq and is a predicted model, not a curated record. NCBI's taxonomy places the organism in Eukaryota, Metazoa, Arthropoda, Insecta, Hymenoptera, Formicidae.
CGCGUAGGGAUAACACAGCGAGUAACACCGCGACGGGCAAAUGUAGCUCGCGUGGGCUCACCACCCUCUUCGCAUUUUUUGCAUGUAAUCAAGAGUCGAGAAUAAGGCUGUUGCGAGGCGAGGCAGAGAGAUGAGGGAAAAUGACAGAAUUACGUUAUGUUUUUUAUUGAUAUUAGCGUUAUGUACGAGAGUAUAUUCGGCGGACGCCAGGCACAUAAUUACCAAGAGAAAUUACAGUGACCAAAGUGUAAGGGGCUAUCUAGCCGAGAGGAUCUGCUGGUGGAACGAAGUGUGCAAGGAAGAAUUUCACAGUAAAUUCCGGUGUCGCUGCCCGAGAUGGUCCUAUUGCCGUGCACCAGGAAGAUAUUACGACGCGCAUUGCAGUAUGACACGCACAGGCUACAUAUGGACCCAACCGGAAACACCGUUGAGUCUCGAAAUCGAUAAAUAAACGACGCUACGAGUGCCAGCCCUGCAAAGAAAGAAAGGUGAAUUAAAAAGAAUCGAUAAGAAUCCAUUUCGCAAAGUCGCGAAAUAAAGGAUGGCAAUACGAUGGAAAUCAAAUAUCUCCCGUUUAAAAUCAAAAUCGGUGCUCGUUAGAGUUUCGCAGAUUUCACCGGUUAAAACAUGGCACAAUUGUUCUAAAGGUAAUUUUUUAUUAACAGCUUUGCUUAAAAAGAAGACGAGAACAUUAUUCAAAGAAUGGUAUUCUUCGAAGACAUUUGGAUUUCGAAGAAUAAUGUGAUAGCUGUAUUAUUAGCGCAUUGACGAACACUUGCUGCCAAGAAUUUAUAAUUGCUGUAUUAUAUUAAACUCGUUAUGGUCGUAUAUGGUUGCUAUUAAUAAAGCUCUGAUGGAGUAAU